Molecule: ribosomal RNA, 253 nt
Filed under: uncultured bacterium
Lineage: Bacteria
Description: partial 16S ribosomal RNA
Rfam family: Bacterial small subunit ribosomal RNA
Source: RNAcentral
UACGGAGGGUGCAAGCGUUAUCCGGAAUCACUGGGUUUAAAGGGUGCGUAGGCGGUUCGAUAAGUCAGAGGUGAAAGCUAGCAGCUUAACUGUUAAAUUGCCUUUGAUACUGUUGGACUUGAAUCAGGUUGAGGUAGGCGGAAUGUGACAUGAAGCGGUGAAAUGCAUAGAUAUGUCAUAGAACACCAAUUGCGUAGGCAGCUUGCUGGGCCUGCAUUGACGCUGAGGCACGAAAGCGUGGGGAUCAAACAGG